This 81-nucleotide transfer RNA is filed under the name Rothia kristinae. RNAcentral's name for it is "tRNA-Ser(cag)". Lineage: Bacteria; Bacillati; Actinomycetota; Actinomycetes; Micrococcales; Micrococcaceae. RNAcentral also lists the same sequence under 1 other name. The record is from RNAcentral.
UUCUUCAUCAGCGAGCGGGCCAGGGUCGAGAGCAGCUUCAGGUGCUCCUGGUCGGCCCCGUCCGGGGCGGCGAUGAAGAAG